AACGAACGCUGGCGGCAUGCCUAACACAUGCAAGUCGAACGAUGCCUUCGGGCAUAGUGGCGCACGGGUGCGUAACGCGUGGGAAUCUGCCUUUCGGUUCGGAAUAACUCAGGGAAACUUGAGCUAAUACCGGAUAACGUCGCAAGACCAAAGAUUUAUCACCGAAAGAUGAGCCCGCGUAGGAUUAGCUAGUUGGUGAGGUAAAGGCUCACCAAGGCGACGAUCCUUAGCUGGUCUGAGAGGAUGAUCAGCCACACUGGGACUGAGACACGACCCAGACUCCUACGGGAGGCAGCAGUGGGGAAUAUUGGACAAUGGGCGAAAGCCUGAUCCAGCAAUGCCGCGUGAGUGAUGAAGGCCUUAGGGUUGUAAAGCUCUUUUACCCGGGAAGAUAAUGACGGUACCGGGAGAAUAAGCCCCGGCUAACUCCGUG
Molecule: ribosomal RNA, 433 nt
Filed under: uncultured bacterium
Lineage: Bacteria
Description: partial 16S ribosomal RNA
Rfam family: Bacterial small subunit ribosomal RNA
Source: RNAcentral